Molecule: ribosomal RNA, 253 nt
Filed under: uncultured bacterium
Lineage: Bacteria
Description: partial 16S ribosomal RNA
Rfam family: Bacterial small subunit ribosomal RNA
Source: RNAcentral
GACGUAGGGCGCAAGCGUUGUCCGGAUUUAUUGGGCGUAAAGAGCUCGUAGGCGGCCUGUCGCGUCGACCGUGAAAACCCGCAGCUCAACUGCGGGCUUGCGGUCGAUACGGGCAGGUUGGAGUUCGGUAGGGGAGACUGGAAUUCCUGGUGUAGCGGUGAAAUGCGCAGAUAUCAGGAGGAACACCGGUGGCGAAGGCGGGUCUCUGGGCCGAUACUGACGCUGAGGAGCGAAAGCGUGGGGAGCGAACAGG